Long non-coding RNA from Clupea harengus (Atlantic herring), 2390 nucleotides. The record is from Ensembl. NCBI's taxonomy places the organism in Eukaryota, Metazoa, Chordata, Actinopteri, Clupeiformes, Clupeidae.
GCUCGUGUCAAAGACGUUGCUCCACCCCCUGCGCCCCCCUCUCCCACAGCGCCUCCACCCGAGCAGGGGGGGUUGUGAAGGCGGCUGGUGCUGCCUCAGGAGAAUCGGUUGGUCUGUCUCUAACCUCCCUAGCCUCCACACACACACACACACACACACACACACACUCACACACACACACACACACACACACGCAGCAGUCACAUCGGGUUUGCCUCACACAGGUGCACUGAUCCCAGCCCCCCCCCCCCUCAGGAUGUCUUCACACACACACACCGUACACAACAACGCCUCCACCCCUCCAGCUCUUCUACGAAUGCAGAAUACUCAGGAUCUCCACUCUGGACAAAGCACAAGAGUUUACAUUUAUCUGACAAUGCUUGAAGAAUCGCAUCAGUGUUUUUAGGAUAAAACGUUUCAUGUUCUUCUCAAAAGGUGUAUGAUUGUUAUUUUUAAGCUGUGUGCAUCAUUACUGUAAGCUUCGAAAAAUUGGUGUGACCGAAUGUCUGGAAAGUUGGAUUAAUCGUUUCAAAAUGAAAUACGGGGCACAUGAAAUCGAAAUGAAUUUGUAUUUGACAAGAAAAAAUUCAUAUUGUUCAAAUGAAUGAAAUUAAUUUUUGAAAUAAAAAGAUAAAUUAGACAGUGUAUUAAUCUUUGACAAUAAUGCAAACAAAUGGUUAAGUCUGUAGUCUGCACAGUGCAUUUAAAUCAACCUAUGGUAAUGGUAAUUUAUGGCAAAGUAUGAAAAAUGUUUCUGUUUCCAUUCUCACUCACAAGAUGAUGUGGUUUCUGAAGCGUCAUUUACCUCCUUGAUCUUCUGUCUUCUUGGAAGUCAUACACAACCUUUCAAUGGAAGUGAAAUUGAGAGCGUGUGAUUGGCUCUCCUCCUGCAUAGAUAGCUGUCAGCAUAAGGUUUUUUUUUUCUUUACUGUAUAUGAUACAUUGACCUGAUACGUGUAUAUAUAUCUCAAUUUUUCUUUCAUUCACAUUCAUCUCAUUCAUAGUUUAUUAUUCUUUGGUCAAUCAUUGCUAGUUUUAAUGUAAUUCAUUUACCUGCAUUCCCUUUCUUUCACACAUUCCCUCUCUGUAUCCCUUUUAUACUGGAUGUAUCAGUGGGAUAUAAAUAUAUUUUAAAAUGUAGAUAUCUUUCAAAUUUCACAAUUUACACACAACAGAUCAUUUUCCUGCACAUAGCUGUAAUACCUCAUAGUAUACACAGUAUCCUAUUUUUCUCAUUUUUUAAUUGUCAUUGAUUGGCCCACCAUACUGGUUUUGCAUGUUACUAUGACAGUGUGUACUAUUUUACAUGUCCUACUCACAUACUUCAUAAUGAUUAUGAGAUCUCUCUGUCAGAAAUACGUGGAUGAUACCCCUGUAUUCAGUGCCUCAGCACAACUCAGUACCUCCAAAGUUUCAGAUCAUGCUCACACUAAGAGUGAGUGCUCCUCUGAGCCCAGAAUCCUUCAGCACAACGUACCUACUUGAUCUACUCUUCAGACAUCACCUACGUGAACAAUGCAAGUCCGCUGAGAGAUGCUUCUGUUUAGCCUGUGGUACCAAUGUUCUCGCCUUCAAUCCCUCCCCUGCCCCACUUACUGCCAAUUACUGUACAUGUUGGCCCUCUCUGUGUGGAAUCAUGAGUGAUACCUUGUCAUGUCAUAAAAAGCAUCCCGCAUUCACCAGACAGCCUUUAUUUUCUUCAAAGCCAAAAAUGUUCUCUUUUUGUUGCAUAUAAAUACAAGUGCUCUGUUUUCAGGACAAACAAAGAUGUUCUCUGCUGGUAAAAAUCACUUUUAGUCUUUUAUAAUUAUAAAGGUUUACUAGAAUCUUUUGUUCAAUUAGAAUAUUUGUUCACAUCUGUUCUUUGUCAGUUUAUGCUAGAUCAUUGUAUUUUGUUCAGGUUAAUUCAGGUUUGUGCCUUUAGGUAGUUUGUCUUGGUUUUCCUUGCUUGUACCUGAAGAAGAGAAAAUUGGAGAUGGUCUUUCUUUAUACCUCAAAGGCAGUAUUUUGUUGUAUUUUUUAAGUUUCUUGGAUACAUUGCUAAUAAAUUUUCCAUGAGUUUUCCUGUCAUACACUUGUUUGUUGUUGUGAUGUUGUUUGUGUUGAUAUUUUAUAUGUCUGUGUUUUUAAUUACAGUGCAUGAAAUGCCCUGUAUUGUUAUUCCUAGGCUUCUUAUACUUCUUCUUCUUCUUACCGACUUCUGCGAUUAAUUCAGCUCGAACCGAACUUAGAAACUCCGUUCAAACUUUGUCGCGUAUGUCUUGUAAACGACACUUAUGCUAUGUAUUUUUCACUUUUCUAAACUUAAUAUCUCCACCCUAGUCUCCACCCGUGCCUCCACCCUUUUCUACACCCAUGCCUACACCCUAGUCUCCACACUAGUCUCCACU